RNAcentral lists this ribosomal RNA (1420 nucleotides) under uncultured organism. Its description in RNAcentral is "16S ribosomal RNA". It matches the Rfam family "Bacterial small subunit ribosomal RNA". The record is from RNAcentral.
UAAUACAUGCAAGUCGAGGGGUAGAGAGAGCUUGCUUUCUUGAGACCGGCGCACGGGUGCGUAACGCGUAUGCAACCUACCUUUAUCUGGGGGAUAGCCCGGAGAAAUCCGGAUUAAUACCGCAUAAAAUCACAGAAUAGCAUUAUUUAAUGAUCAAACAUUUAUGGGAUGAAGAUGGGCAUGCGUGUCAUUAGCUAGUUGGCGGGGUAACGGCCCACCAAGGCGACGAUGACUAGGGGAUCUGAGAGGAUGGCCCCCCACACUGGUACUGAGACACGGACCAGACUCCUACGGGAGGCAGCAGUAAGGAAUAUUGGUCAAUGGAGGCAACUCUGAACCAGCCAUGCCGCGUGCAGGAAGACUGCCCUAUGGGUUGUAAACUGCUUUUAUCCGGGAAUAAACCUUUCUACGUGUAGGAAGCUGAAUGUACCGGAAGAAUAAGGAUCGGCUAACUCCGUGCCAGCAGCCGCGGUAAUACGGAGGAUCCAAGCGUUAUCCGGAUUUAUUGGGUUUAAAGGGUGCGUAGGCGGCCUGUUAAGUCAGGGGUGAAAGACGGUAGCUCAACUAUCGCAGUGCCCUUGAUACUGAUGGGCUUGAAUGGACUAGAGGUAGGCGGAAUGAGACAAGUAGCGGUGAAAUGCAUAGAUAUGUCUCAGAACACCGAUUGCGAAGGCAGCUUACUAUGGUCUUAUUGACGCUGAGGCACGAAAGCGUGGGGAUCAAACAGGAUUAGAUACCCUGGUAGUCCACGCCCUAAACGAUGAACACUCGCUGUUGGCGAUACACAGUCAGCGGCUAAGCGACAGCGUUAAGUGUUCCACCUGGGGAGUACGCCCGCAAGGGUGAAACUCAAAGGAAUUGACGGGGGCCCGCACAAGCGGAGGAGCAUGUGGUUUAAUUCGAUGAUACGCGAGGAACCUUACCCGGGCUUGAAAGUUAGUGAAUGAUCUAGAGAUAGAUCAGUGAGCAAUCACACGAAACUAGGUGCUGCAUGGCUGUCGUCAGCUCGUGCCGUGAGGUGUUGGGUUAAGUCCUGCAACGAGCGCAACCCCUAUGUUUAGUUGCCAGCAUGUAAUGAUGGGGACUCUAAACAGACUGCCUGUGCAAACAGAGAGGAAGGAGGGGACGACGUCAAGUCAUCAUGGCCCUUACGUCCGGGGCUACACACGUGCUACAAUGGAUGGUACAGAGGGCAGCUAGCUGGCAACAGUAUGCGAAUCUCACAAAGCCAUUCACAGUUCGGAUUGGGGUCUGCAACUCGACCCCAUGAAGUUGGAUUCGCUAGUAAUCGCGUAUCAGCAAUGACGCGGUGAAUACGUUCCCGGGCCUUGUACACACCGCCCGUCAAGCCAUGGAAGUUGGGGGUACCUAAAGUAUGUAACCGCAAGGAGCGUCCUAGGGUAAAACCGAUAACUGGGGC